AUUGAACGCUGGCGGCAGGCCUAACACAUGCAAGUCGAGCGGAUGAAGGGAGCUUGCUCCUGGAUUCAGCGGCGGACGGGGGAGUAAUGCCUAGGAAUCUGCCUGGUAGUGGGGGAUAACGUCCUGAAACGGGCGCUAAUACCGCAUACGUCCUGAGGGAGAAAGUGGGGGAUCUUCGGACCUCACGCUAUCAGAUGAGCCUAGGUCGGAUUAGCUAGUUGGUGGGGUAAAGGCCUACCAAGGCGACGAUCCGUAACUGGUCUGAGAGGAUGAUCAGUCACACUGGAACUGAGACACGGUCCAGACUCCUACGGGAGGCAGCAGUGGGGAAUAUUGGACAAUGGGCGAAAGCCUGAUCCAGCCAUGCCGCGUGUGUGAAGAAGGUCUUCGGAUUGUAAAGCACUUUAAGUUGGGAGGAAGGGCAGUAAGUUAAUACCUUGCUGUUUUGACGUUACCAACAGAAUAAGCACCGGCUAACUUCGUG
RNAcentral lists this ribosomal RNA (484 nucleotides) under uncultured bacterium. Its description in RNAcentral is "partial 16S ribosomal RNA". It matches the Rfam family "Bacterial small subunit ribosomal RNA", at positions 30 to 507 of the family's 1533-position model. The record is from RNAcentral.